UACGGAGGGGGCUAGCGUUGUUUGGAAUUACUGGGCGUAAAGCGCACGUAGGCGGACUUGAAAGACAGAGGUGAAAUCCCAGGGCUCAACCUUGGAACUGCCUUUGAAACUUCUGGUCUUGAGGUCGAGAGAGGUGAGUGGAAUUCCGAGUGUAGAGGUGAAAUUCGUAGAUAUUCGGAGGAACACCAGUGGCGAAGGCGGGUCACUGGCUCGAUACUGACGCUGAGGUGCGAAAGCGUGGGUAGCAAACAGG
Molecule: ribosomal RNA, 253 nt
Filed under: uncultured bacterium
Lineage: Bacteria
Description: partial 16S ribosomal RNA
Rfam family: Bacterial small subunit ribosomal RNA
Source: RNAcentral